Molecule: small nucleolar RNA, 106 nt
Filed under: Helianthus annuus (common sunflower)
Lineage: Eukaryota; Viridiplantae; Streptophyta; Magnoliopsida; Asterales; Asteraceae
Description: Plant small nucleolar RNA R71
Rfam family: Plant small nucleolar RNA R71
About the family: R71 is a member of the C/D box family of snoRNAs containing the C (UGAUGA) and D (CUGA) box motifs.
Source: RNAcentral
AUUCCAUGAUGUGGACAUUUUCACAGCAACUCCUUAAACCGUGUGAAAGCUUCAUAAAAUGUCUCACCUGAAUGCUGUUGGAAAGCCCUGAUUGCUUCCCGAGCUU